CAUGAAUUUAAUCCCAGCACUUGGGAGGCAGAGGCAGGGGGAUCUCUGUGAUUUCGAGGCUAGCCUGAUUUACACAGUAAGUUCCCGGACAACCAGACAGCUACACAGUGACACCCUAUCUCAAAAAACAAAAACAAAAACAAAAGACAAACAAAAAACAAGACAAUCUAAAACCAUCUGACCAACCAUCACAUCCCCCCUCCUUGAUUUCAAGACAGUAAGGACUCUCUAGAGACAGAGAAAUCUGUCUCUGCCUGAAAAUACAUGGAUACUAAAGUAGCAUAAAGCCAAGUCUCAAAAUACUAUACUCUCCCUGAACCACAGUGAUGCCUUCACAUCUGGCAAACCUGGCUCUGGAUUCUGCUCUUGUACCUGGAUGGGCCUUAUUCACCAUGGCUGCUCACCUUGGUUGUCUCAAUUUCAAGAGGCAAAAGCAUGGUCAUCAACAGACUGAAGCAAAGCACAUCCAAACAGUGGGCAAAGUCAUGAGCAAUUUCCUCACAAAUAAUUACUUCAAAAAUUGUUUUAAUUGGCAGGACACUAACAACCUUUUAACAAACCAGUCCUUUUAUUCAAUGUUUUAUGACCUUGGAAAGAAGUAAGGGCAAAGAGUGUUGCAUUUGAAGAUGCCAGAAUUACACACUGGGGUCAGUGUCCUGGAACAUGAAGGUUGUUUUCCAGCCAUGACCUUGAGGUCAAUAGACCUGUAUAACCUAUACGAGAUUCUGAGUCUACCAAAUUAUAGGUCACAGGACACUCCUGUGAAGUUAUAAUUUACAACAUGUUUGUUUCUGCUAUUCGUUGCCCUACCUUUGGAGAGCAGAGAGCGUUUUAGAGCGUUCUAAACCGGGUAUUUCUGGCUGGAAUUCUUAAGUUUCUUUAUAACCCACAUAACUUAAAUCUCCCAAGGAGUGGUGACUAGUUAGUUCUGAGCUUAGGCAAUAAAACGAACUAAUCCAUUGUCAGAACUACAACCUUAUACCAUGUAGGGGACCAGGAAGCAAUCUUUAUUUCAAAAGGGGAUGGGAAAACUUUCAGGAUGAGGACAUCCUCUGUAACCUUUUCCUAUAUUCUAAAACAGGCACAUUCAAAAAAAAAAGUAACGAGGAAAUGAAGGUUCAUUUCCUGAACAUCUAUUGAGUUCCAGUCACAUGCUUAUAUCUUAGCUAAUAUGAUUCUCCUUACUGGGUAAGAACUUGUAACCAGAAUACCUGAAUUAGUACUGCCUGUCGCCACUAGCCCCGAUGAGCUGACAGGAAAUGCAUCUUUGUUGUGCUUUACACACAAUUCCAACCCGUCCUCCAGUCUCUCUCACUCUGCUAUUAUUUCUCGUUCCAGAGCACUCGGCUUGAGGAGACCUAGGGUUUGUUCAAGGUGACACACUGCAGCAAAUAUGAGUUAAGAAUUCGAAUCCAAAGUAACAUCCUCCCCGCUGCGCCAUAGCCGGGGCUCCUAAAACGGAGGUCCGGCGCCGGGAAACUAAUGACCCAUGGCUCUCCCUCAGCGCAGUGCCACAGCUGGGAACGCAAGCCUAUCCUCGUGACUCCCGAAUCUUUCCGUUUUCACACAAGUGCGUGACUGCGGGAGCGAGGUGGCCACGUGAGAUCCCUCCACCCUCUCCGGGCGAGGUACAGAUCGGGUCCGGCCAAGGGCAAGUCUCAGCACACCCGCUCUUCCGCGUCGCCACCGAGCUGACCCGGGCCCGCGUGGGAGAAACUCGGAACGACCUUGGUGGCGGCCUCAGUCCCCGCGUGUCUGGGCGAGACUCCCCCACAGUCCCCGCCCGCAGCCACCCGGCGUGGCCAGCGCAGACAGGAUAACCCGGGCGAGGCUGCAGGGAGGCGGCCAGCCAGUCCCACGUGGACCAGCUCCUCGUUGGGGGCGGGGCCCCGGGGACGUCCAGGCCAAUCAGCGCCGCUGCCCAGCUCACCCGGCUAGGCGCGCCCGACCAGCCUGUGGUUGCGUCACAUCGGAGGCGGGACCUCGGGCGGGCGCGAGGCUCGGCAGGUCACGUGGGGCGCAGAACCGGCUAUAAAUAGGAGCCGGCGGCAUGCUCUCUAUAUGAUGGCCGCCGGCGCGCGUUGCGUGUUUUCACCUCUCGCCUGCUGAGGCGCCCGCGGCUGCUUCACGAGUGGGUAGAGAGUCCCUCCGUGCUGUGCCCGGUGUUGCCGUCCUGGGUUGUGCGACCGUGGCUCGAGCCUGCCUCAGUCUCGUUCUUCUGGUCUCUCUGUUCGGCCCUCAGUUUCCUUUGGAUGAACUUGCGUCCUUUCUCUAAUCCGCCAUGGAAUUCUGCUCCGUGCUUUUAGCCCUCCAGAGCCAAAGAAACCCCAGACAACAGACGCCCAGACGCAGCAGCGUAUAGCAGUAACUCCCCAGCUCGGUUUCCGUGCCGUAGUUUACAGUAUUUAAUUUUAUAUAAUAUAUACUAUUUAUUAUAGCAUUUUGAUACCUCAUUCCGUUUACACAUCUCAAAAGCCGCUUAGUAAUUCUCUUAUUAUUUAAAGAACCACUACACUAGAGAAUGGAAUCUACUGUGGCAACGAUUACUAGUACCCUAGCUGCUGUUACUGCUUCCGCUCCACCGAAGUAUGACAAUCUAUGGAUGCUCAUCCUGGGCUUCAUCAUUGCAUUUGUCUUGGCAUUCUCCGUGGGAGCCAAUGAUGUAGCAAAUUCGUUCGGUACAGCUGUAGGCUCAGGUGUAGUGACCCUGAAGCAAGCCUGCAUCUUAGCUAGCAUCUUCGAAACUGUGGGCUCCGCCUUGCUGGGGGCCAAAGUGAGCGAAACCAUCCGGAACGGCUUGAUAGAUGUGGAGCUGUACAACGAAACUCAAGAUCUGCUCAUGGCUGGCUCCGUCAGUGCUAUGUUUGGUUCUGCUGUGUGGCAGCUCGUGGCUUCGUUUUUGAAGCUUCCGAUUUCUGGGACCCAUUGUAUUGUCGGUGCAACCAUUGGUUUCUCCCUUGUGGCAAAUGGGCAGAAGGGUGUCAAGUGGUCUGAACUGAUAAAAAUUGUGAUGUCGUGGUUCGUCUCUCCGCUGCUUUCUGGUAUUAUGUCUGGAAUUUUAUUCUUCCUUGUUCGUGCGUUCAUCCUCCGUAAGGCAGAUCCGGUUCCUAAUGGCUUACGAGCUUUACCAAUUUUUUAUGCCUGCACAAUCGGAAUCAACCUCUUUUCCAUUAUGUAUACUGGAGCACCGUGGCUGAAAUCUCCUAGAAGGUGGCUGGCCUGCAUCCAUUUCAGAAGGCUGCAGGCUAGUGUAUGCUGAGUUAACCUAGAUAGGUUUUCAACCAGAGAGACCUGCUCACAUUCUAAAUCACUCCAGACCUUUCCUCCUUAGUCUUCACAGGAUCCACUGAUAAUAUGACCUUCUCCCUCCCUUUCUUGUGUCUAUGCUAACAAUGCUGGAAAUGAUGCUGGCCUCAACUACUGAAGAGUCAUUAGUUAAAUCUGCUCUUCAGUAAUCAGCCACUUAGAGCCGCUUGUUAGAUGUCAUUUUUCUCUCCCAGUUGGAGCCAUUUCGUUUUCUAAAGUUCUCAGUUUGCCCCCCUAAACUGACUUGAACGAGAAGAGUUGGGAUGUGUAACUCCUGGUCUAAUUAAUUACACUUGGAAGAAGAAUGUCCGCAGCUAGGAGAAAGCACUUGAGAGGAAUAUAAAGGCUCUGGUGUUGAUUGCUUUCAUAUGGGGACUAAGGGAAGGCAAGGAUUCAGUUGUCUACUGAGAGAUGGAUAGAUUGGAGCUCGUGAGGCAGAGCAGCACGGUUGUGGCAUCUGGGCUCAUGUGACUUGCUGGGUCUUAACUACGCAGGACCCGAGGCGUCCCUACACUCAUUCCUCUGACUGCUGCCCAGGGCACACUGUGUCUGUGUAAACAGGACUGAAGUAGCAAAGUGAUUGUCCUUAUGUUAUGUGUGCUCUCAUCCUCAAUUCUUAAAGGAUUUUCAUGCUUGUGACCGCCAAGUAGGUCCCGCCUCUGGUUCAUGGAUUGUGACCUGUGUAUUAUUACCACUGAAAUGAUGUAGUAAGUCACCGAACAAAACAAAACAGCAGGGUAUUUCUCACAUUGUCGUUCUUGAAAUGUCAUUAAAGAAACACAGGAUGGGACCAGCCUUGGUGUGGGGGAGGGGGGGCCUUGCUUCUUUUUUUUUUUUUUUUUUUUUUGCCCUAUAAGAUUGUUUCUAAGAAAACCCAGUCCUUUCGUUCCCCCUUUUGACUUGGAAUGUAGACAAACUUAAACUGAUAAACACUAAUUAGACCUCAUGGAUAUUUUACUUUGUGGACAUAACUGCCUAGUCACAGUUGAAAGCAGAACUUAAAAUGAAAAGACCGGCAGAUAGAAAGAACUUCAGGACUGAAGGAUUUCAGCUUAUGUCUGAUUGAUUCUUAAAGGCUACUUCUUAGUAUAUUCUGUCUCUUUUACGGUGCUAGGGAUUGAAUCUAAGGCUUUGUGCAAGCUAGGCUGAGCUGCGGUCCCGACAUAAAUAGUUUUGACAGUACAGUAAUGUUCCCAUUUUAUAAGUGACUUACUAUGCAGUAAGCAAAAUCAAGUGAGACAAGCACAAGUGACUUUGCUGGGGGAAGGGACAUUCAGACAGUGGCCUGGGAUUCAGUGCUGUGAAUGGUCUCCACUCUAGGAUACGCCAGCAGUCCCUGUUGCCUGUGUGCAAGCUGACACUUGCCAGUACUGCUGAUCCUGAGGUCAUUGAGCCAAGGGGAAAGAACUGGAGGACAGGUCUCUCUGCCUUGUUACUGAACUACCACUAAACUUGUCCUGUGUGAAAGGCAACAUUUAAGCAAGUGUCUUCCCGUAGUUAAUAACCCUAUUUUCUGUUAGCUUGAUGAUGCUUUUGUGGAGAGAUGCAGUUCCCCCAAGAGCUGCCUGGUACAGUCAGUGUAGUAACUUUCCUUUACAGUGUGUGGUGUCUGCGUGACACUGACUUGAGACACUCCCUUUAUUAAAAUAAGUCAUAUGUAAAUGUAAUGUGGGGCAGUUAGGAUGAGGAGCUGAGUGCAGAAAAGGAUGCUGUGAUUGGUUUUAUAGUUAUAGGUCCUUACUGUAGCGAUUCUUGAAGAAAGUUAGCACAUGAGUCCAGCAAGUGUUUCAGUGGCUUUGGUUGCUGUGGGUUUAAGAUGUUCAUUCACGUUUUCUCCAUGGUCUGCAUAGCCAGUAGCCUGAUGAAACUCUGGAAUGGCAGCAGCUGAAACGGGUGACGGUGACGGGCUGGCUUGGGGAAGCCCUCCUUCCCCUCAGGAGGGUUUACACAUUGUUGCAGGGGGCUGUUGCCCUGGGGUUUUCAAGAUGCACCAUUUUAUCUCGUAGUGCUGGGCUUUGACAAACUUCCUCUGUGGGGUACCAUCCUCAUCUCGGUGGGAUGUGCAGUUUUCUGUGCCCUUAUCGUCUGGUUCUUUGUAUGUCCCAGGAUGAAGAGAAAAAUUGAACGAGAAGUAAAGUCUAGUCCGUCUGAAAGUCCCUUAAUGGAAAAGAAGAGCAACUUAAAAGAAGACCAUGAAGAAACAAAGAUGGCUCCUGGAGACGUUGAGCAUAGGAAUCCUGUGUCUGAGGUAGUGUGUGCCACUGGGCCACUCCGGGCUGUGGUGGAGGAGAGGACGGUGUCAUUCAAACUUGGUGACCUGGAGGAGGCUCCGGAGCGAGAGCGGCUUCCCAUGGACCUGAAGGAGGAGACCAGCAUAGACAGCACCAUCAAUGGUGCAGUGCAGUUGCCUAAUGGGAACCUUGUUCAGUUCAGUCAAACUGUCAGCAACCAGAUCAACUCCAGUGGCCACUAUCAGUAUCACACCGUGCACAAGGAUUCUGGCUUGUACAAGGAGCUGCUCCAUAAGUUACAUCUGGCCAAGGUGGGAGACUGCAUGGGAGAUUCUGGGGACAAGCCCUUGAGACGCAACAACAGCUACACUUCCUACACUAUGGCAAUAUGUGGCAUGCCCCUGGAUUCAUUCCGUGCCAAAGAAGGUGAACAAAAGGGAGAUGAAAUGGAGACGCUGACAUGGCCUAAUGCAGAUACCAAGAAGCGGAUUCGAAUGGACAGUUACACCAGUUACUGCAAUGCCGUGUCUGACCUUCACUCCGAGUCUGAGAUGGACAUGAGUGUGAAGGCUGAGAUGGGCCUGGGUGACAGAAAAGGAAGCAGUGGCUCUCUUGAAGAAUGGUAUGACCAGGAUAAGCCUGAAGUGUCCCUUCUCUUCCAGUUCCUGCAGAUCCUUACAGCCUGCUUUGGGUCAUUUGCCCAUGGUGGCAAUGACGUCAGCAAUGCCAUCGGCCCUCUGGUUGCUUUGUAUCUUGUUUAUAAACAAGAAGCCUCUACAAAAGCGGCAACACCCAUAUGGCUUCUGCUUUAUGGUGGUGUUGGCAUUUGCAUGGGCCUGUGGGUUUGGGGAAGAAGAGUUAUCCAGACCAUGGGGAAGGACCUGACCCCAAUCACACCCUCCAGUGGUUUCAGUAUUGAACUGGCGUCUGCCUUAACUGUGGUCAUCGCAUCAAACAUUGGCCUUCCCAUCAGCACAACACAUUGCAAAGUGGGCUCUGUUGUGUCUGUUGGCUGGCUCCGAUCAAAGAAGGCUGUUGACUGGCGACUGUUUCGAAACAUUUUUAUGGCCUGGUUUGUCACGGUCCCCAUCUCUGGGGUUAUCAGUGCCGCUAUCAUGGCAGUAUUCAAGUACAUCAUCCUGCCAGUGUGACGCUGGGGUUGAAAGCUGUGUCAGUGUCUGGGACCAUUGUACACAUUCCUGUUCCUAGGAGAACGCUCACAGUGUUGCUGAAGACAGGCAAGGGUCUUAAAGGAGCCGUGGGAAGGAAGUGUAAUUUACACUAUAAUUGCUUUUGUGCUAAAUAUGACUUAUCUCAAAAUUAGCUAUGUAAAAUAGCCAGGUUUCCAUUGAUUCAUUCCAAGGUCCCUUUUCUCCUGGGCUAUGAAUUCCUGUACAUAUUUCUCUACUUUUGUAUCAGGCCUCAAUUCCAGUAUGUUUUAAUGUUGUCUGUGAGAUAACUUAGGUGGGUUCUUUUUAAACAGCCAGGCAGAGCCAUUUGAUGGCAUGUACUGCUUUGUCGGCCUCACCAGCUUCUUCCCCAACAUGCACAGGGAUUUAACAACAUGUAACUGAAGCUUCCCUCCCUCAUAGUCUCUCAUAGAAAUAGUCACGGCACUCUGCUCCCUGUCACUAGUGGCAGGUUCUGUUGAUGUGUGACAACUUCUUAGAGGGCCGAGAAUCUUUGGCACAGUGGAAAUAUAAGUUUGUAGUAACCUCUUUGCAAACAGUUCACGGACAUGUUGCUAAGAAGCAGGGAGACAAAGCCCCCUGGCGGUUGUGGUUAUUCUUCUGAGAUUUCUGGCAGUGUGGGAUGGGUGAAUGAAGUGGAAUGUGAACUUUGGGCAAAUUCAAUGGGACAGCCUUCCAUGUUCAUCUGUCUACCUCUUAACUGAAUAAAAAGCCUACAGUUUUUAGAAAAA
Mus musculus (house mouse) is the source of this 7458-nucleotide RNA transcript. It is a transcript of the gene named solute carrier family 20, member 1, with no coding region annotated. Lineage: Eukaryota; Metazoa; Chordata; Mammalia; Rodentia; Muridae. The transcript is spliced from 11 exons. The record is from RefSeq and is marked validated.